Molecule: long non-coding RNA, 635 nt
Organism: Raphanus sativus (radish)
Lineage: Eukaryota; Viridiplantae; Streptophyta; Magnoliopsida; Brassicales; Brassicaceae
Exons: 3
Source: RefSeq, a predicted model, not a curated record
UGUCGACACGUUCUGACAGUGUUUACCGUCACAAUAAUACUCACCUUGCCACCGCAUUAUAUUCUGGGAAGGUGGACCAGAAAUGCCAAGAGCGUUGUGGAGAUGGAUGAGCGUGUUAGCGAUGAUGGCUUGUUACACCGUUAACCACUUAUGUCGCGAGGCCAUUAAGUAUGCUGAGGAAGGUGCAGUUACACCUGAGACUUAUAAUAUUUGCUUUAGGAGCACUCAGAGAAGGUGGAAAGAAGGUUUCAGCUGUCAGGAAAAGCGUUGGCAGAGCUGCACCUCCUAGCCACACGGUGGUGAUGCAAAGACCUCACUAUCAGCAUCUGACUCAACCCCUCUGCUGUGGCCUCGUCAUGAUGAAAUGACACGCAGAUUUAAUCUUAACGAUGGUGGGGCCAGAGCUCGUCUGUUGCUGAUUUGAAUCUGCCGCGUAUGGCACCGAUAUCCCUUCACCGAGAUGAUGGUGCUCCUGAGAAUAUGGUAGCUCUUCCUUGUCUUAAGUCAAUGACUUGGGGGAUGGAGAGUAAGAAUACAAUCCCGGGUGGUAGAGUUGCAGUUAUCAAUUUAAAGUUGCACGAUUACAGAAAGUUUCCUCGGCAGAUAUGGAGGUCAAGUUUCAGCUGUCUAGCGUU